Molecule: ribosomal RNA, 129 nt
Filed under: Prolemur simus (greater bamboo lemur)
Lineage: Eukaryota; Metazoa; Chordata; Mammalia; Primates; Lemuridae
Source: RNAcentral
GUCUACGGCCAAACCACCCUGAACGUGCCCGAUCUUGUCUGAUCUCGGAAGCUAAGCAGGGUCGGGCCUGGUUAGUACUUGGAUGGGAGAUGUAACUUUUUAUCCCGGCACUCAGGCUGUCUGUAAUCA